UACGUAGGGUGCGAGCGUUGUCCGGAAUUAUUGGGCGUAAAGAGCUCGUAGGCGGUCUGUCGCGUCGAUCGUGAAAACUUGGGGCUUAACCCUGAGCUUGCGUCGAUACGGCAUGACUGGAGUUCGGCAGGGAGACUGGAAUUCCUGGUGUAGCGGUGAAAUGCGCAGAUAUCAGGAGGAACACCGGUGGCGAAGGCGGGUCUCUGGGCCGAUACUGACGCUGAGGAGCGAAAAGCGUGGGGGAGCGAACAGG
This 253-nucleotide ribosomal RNA is filed under the name uncultured bacterium. RNAcentral describes it as "partial 16S ribosomal RNA". It matches the Rfam family "Bacterial small subunit ribosomal RNA", at positions 524 to 776 of the family's 1533-position model. The record is from RNAcentral.